GAUGAACGCUGGCGGCGUGCCUAAUACAUGCAAGUCGAGCGAACGGACGAGAAGCUUGCUUCUCUGAUGUUAGCGGCGGACGGGUGAGUAACACGUGGAUAACCUACCUAUAAGACUGGGAUAACUUCGGGAAACCGGAGCUAAUACCGGAUAAUAUUUUGAACCGCAUGGUUCAAAAGUGAAAGACGGUCUUGCUGUCACUUAUAGAUGGAUCCGCGCUGCAUUAGCUAGUUGGUAAGGUAACGGCUUACCAAGGCGACGAUGCAUAGCCGACCUGAGAGGGUGAUCGGCCACACUGGAACUGAGACACGGUCCAGACUCCUACGGGAGGCAGCAGUAGGGAAUCUUCCGCAAUGGGCGAAAGCCUGACGGAGCAACGCCGCGUGAGUGAUGAAGGUCUUCGGAUCGUAAAGCUCUGUUAUUAGGGAAGAACAUAUGUGUAAGUAACUGUGCACAUCUUGACGGUACCUAAUCAGAAAGCCACGGCUAGCUACGUG
RNAcentral lists this ribosomal RNA (497 nucleotides) under uncultured bacterium. RNAcentral describes it as "partial 16S ribosomal RNA". It matches the Rfam family "Bacterial small subunit ribosomal RNA", at positions 28 to 507 of the family's 1533-position model. The record is from RNAcentral.